RNAcentral lists this long non-coding RNA (713 nucleotides) under Homo sapiens (human). Its description in RNAcentral is "HSALNT0301801". The record is from RNAcentral. Lineage: Eukaryota; Metazoa; Chordata; Mammalia; Primates; Hominidae.
AUUCCCCUCUUUUUCUGCCUUCUCCAAUUUUAAUUGAACAUUUUACUUGAUUGCGUUUUCUGUACUCUCUUAAUAUAUCUGUUAAACGUGUUUUUUGGUGGCUGCCUGGAGUUUGCAAUGUACAUUUACAACUAAGCUAAGUCCACUUUCAGAUAUUAUACUGCUUCAUGGAUAGUGCAGUUACCUUAGCGUAUUCCUAAUUCCUCCUCUCUUUUAUACAUUGCUGUCAUUUGUUUCCCUUAUCUAUAUACUAUAACCACCUAAAAGAUUUUAUUUUACCUUAUUAUCCUUCUCUGAUACUCUUUCUCUUUAUGUAGAUUUGAGUUUCUGACCUAUAUCAUUUUCCUUUUUGCUGACGUAUUGGCGACAACAUUCCUUGGUUUUUGGCUAAGAAAGUCUUUACUUCUUUUGUAGGAUAACUUUACUGGAUACAGAAUUCUAGUUUGGUGGGGUUUUUUUUUCUUUUUUCCAGCUUUGUCAACAUUUCACCCUAUUUCCUUCCUGCUUGCAUGAUUUUUGUUUUGCUUUGUUUUUUGAGAUGGAGCCUUGCUUUGUCGCCCAGGCUGGAGUGCAGUGGUGCGAUCUUGGCUCACUGCAACCUCUGCCUUCUGGGUUCAAGUGAUUCUCCUGCCUCAGCCUCCCAAGUACCUGGGACUACAGGUGUGUGCCACCACGCCUGGCUAAUUUUUGUAUUUUUAGAUCUUGAUGGAUUU